GACGUAGGGUGCAAGCGUUGUCCGGAAUUAUUGGGCGUAAAGAGCUCGUAGGCGGUUUGUCGCGUCGAAUGUGAAAACCCGGGGCUCAACUCCGGGCCUGCAUUCGAUACGGGCAGACUAGAGUUCGGUAGGGGAGUCUGGAAUUCCUGGUGUAGCGGUGAAAUGCGCAGAUAUCAGGAGGAACACCGGUGGCGAAGGCGGGACUCUGGGCCGAUACUGACGCUGAGGAGCGAAAGCGUGGGGAGCGAACAGG
RNAcentral lists this ribosomal RNA (253 nucleotides) under uncultured bacterium. Its description in RNAcentral is "partial 16S ribosomal RNA". It matches the Rfam family "Bacterial small subunit ribosomal RNA", at positions 524 to 776 of the family's 1533-position model. The record is from RNAcentral.